AUUGAACGCUGGCGGAAUGCUUUACACAUGCAAGUCGAACGGCAGCACGGACUUCGGUCUGGUGGCGAGUGGCGAACGGGUGAGUAAUGUAUCGGAACGUGCCCAGUCGGGGGGGAUAACGUAGUGAAAAUUACGCUAAUACCGCAUACGAUCUAUGGAUGACAGCGGGGGAUCGCAAGAACUCGCGCGAGUGGAGCGGCCGAUAUCAGAUUAGGUAGUUGGUGGGGUAAAGGGCCACCAAGCCAACGAUCUGUAGCUGGACUGAGAGGACGACCAGCCAGACUGGAAGAGAGACACGGUCCAGACUCCUACGGGAGGCAGCAGUGGGGAAUUUUGGACAAUGGGAGAAAGCCUGAUCCAGCCAUUCCGCGUGCAGGAUGAAGGCCCUCGGGUUGUAAACUGCUUUUGUACAGAACGAAAAGGUUUCUACUAAUACUAGGAGCUCAUGACGGUACUGUAAGAAUAAGCACCGGCUAACUACGUGCCAGCCGCCGCCGUAA
Molecule: ribosomal RNA, 500 nt
Filed under: uncultured bacterium
Lineage: Bacteria
Description: partial 16S ribosomal RNA
Rfam family: Bacterial small subunit ribosomal RNA
Source: RNAcentral